GGGGUUGUGGCUCAGUGGUACAGCACUUGCCUAGCUCGUGCAAGACCCUGGGUUCGAUCCCCAGUACCACA
This 71-nucleotide transfer RNA is filed under the name Marmota monax (woodchuck). Its description in RNAcentral is "tRNA.Undet". The record is from RNAcentral. Lineage: Eukaryota; Metazoa; Chordata; Mammalia; Rodentia; Sciuridae.